CAGUAGCCACGGUAAUACAGAGGGUGCAAGCGUUAAUCGGAAUUACUGGGCGUAAAGCGCGCGUAGGUGGUUCGCCAAGUUGGAUGUGAAAUCCCCGGGCUCAACCUGGGAACUGCAUCCAAAACUGGCGAGCUAGAGUAUGGUAGAGGGUGGUGGAAUUUCCUGUGUAGCGGUGAAAUGCGUAGAUAUAGGAAGGAACAUCAGUGGCGAAGGCGACCACCUGGACUGAUACUGACACUGAGGUGCGAAAGCGUGGGGAGCAAACAGGAUUAGAUACCCCUGUAGUCCCUGUCUCUUAUAC
Molecule: ribosomal RNA, 301 nt
Filed under: uncultured bacterium
Lineage: Bacteria
Description: partial 16S ribosomal RNA
Rfam family: Bacterial small subunit ribosomal RNA
Source: RNAcentral